Molecule: ribosomal RNA, 498 nt
Filed under: uncultured bacterium
Lineage: Bacteria
Description: partial 16S ribosomal RNA
Rfam family: Bacterial small subunit ribosomal RNA
Source: RNAcentral
AUUGAACGCUGGCGGCAUGCCUUACACAUGCAAGUCGAACGGUAACAGGUCUUCGGAUGCUGACGAGUGGCGAACGGGUGAGUAAUACAUCGGAACGUGCCUAGUAGUGGGGGAUAACUACUCGAAAGAGUGGCUAAUACCGCAUGAGAUCUACGGAUGAAAGCAGGGGAUCGCAAGACCUUGUGCUACUAGAGCGGCCGAUGGCAGAUUAGGUAGUUGGUGGGAUAAAAGCUUACUAAGCCGACGAUCUGUAGCUGGUCUGAGAGGACGAUCAGCCACACUGGGACUGAGACACGGCCCAGACUCCUACGGGAGGCAGCAGUGGGGAACUUUGGACAAUGGGCGAAAGCCUGAUCCAGCAAUGCCGCGUGCAGGAUGAAGGCCUUCGGGUUGUAAACUGCUUUUGUACGGAACGAAAAGCCCCGGGUUAAUACCCUGGGGUCGUGACGGUACCGUAAGAAUAAGCACCGGCUAACUACGUGCCAGCCGCCGCGGUAA